RNAcentral lists this transfer RNA (74 nucleotides) under Oryzias latipes (Japanese medaka). Its description in RNAcentral is "tRNA-Phe (GAA) (tRNA-Phe-GAA-3-1)". It matches the Rfam family "tRNA". From Rfam's summary of the family: Transfer RNA (tRNA) molecules are approximately 80 nucleotides in length. Their secondary structure includes four short double-helical elements and three loops (D, anti-codon, and T loops). Lineage: Eukaryota; Metazoa; Chordata; Actinopteri; Beloniformes; Adrianichthyidae. The record is from RNAcentral.
ACUGGAAAUAGCUCAGCUGGGAGAGCGCUAGACCGAAGAUCUAGAGGUCCUUGGUUCAAUCCCGAGUUUCGGCA